Molecule: ribosomal RNA, 467 nt
Filed under: uncultured bacterium
Lineage: Bacteria
Description: partial 16S ribosomal RNA
Rfam family: Bacterial small subunit ribosomal RNA
Source: RNAcentral
GACGAACGCUGGCGGCGUGCUUAACACAUGCAAGUCGAACGGAAAGGCCUCUUUCGGGGGGUACUCGCGUGGCGAACGGGUGAGUAACACGUGAGUAACCUGCCCUUGACUUUGGGAUAAAUUCAGGAAACUGGGGCUAAUACCGGAUAGGAGCUCCUGCUGCAUGGUGGGGGUUGGAAAGUUUCGGCGGUUGGGGGUGGACUCGCGGCGUAUCAGCUUGGUGGUGGGGUAGCGGCUUACCAAGGCUUUGACGGGUAGCCGGCCUGAGAGGGUGACCGGCCACAUUGGGACUGAGAUACGGCCCAGACUCCUACGGGAGGCAGCAGGGGGGAAGAUUGCACAAUGGGUGGAAGCCUGAUGCAGCAACGCCGUGUGCGGGAUGACGGCCUUCGGGUUGUAAACCGCUUUCGCUCAUGACGAAGCUUUGUGUGACGGUAGUGGGUAAAGAAGCACCGGCUAACUACGUG